RNAcentral lists this long non-coding RNA (442 nucleotides) under Homo sapiens (human). RNAcentral's name for it is "HSALNT0207755". Lineage: Eukaryota; Metazoa; Chordata; Mammalia; Primates; Hominidae. The record is from RNAcentral.
GGCUGUUAUUAUCACACAAAUUACAUCUUUAUACAUGUUGUGCUGAACAACAAGUGGAUUUGUAGGUGUUUCUUUCUGAAGUUAUCUUCUAAAUCAGAUUUGCUGAGGUUUGUUUUGUGGCCUAACAUCUGAUCUACCCUGAAGACACUUCCAUGUGCUGAUGAGGAGAAUGCAUACUCUUCAGCUGUUGAGUGGGAUGUUCUGUGACUAUCUGGUAGGUCCACAUGAUCUAGAGUGCGCUUUGUAUUUGUUGUUUUUUUGGCUGAAUUUUUGUCUAGAUGAUCUGUCCUUUGCCGAAAGUGAGAUAUUGAAGUCCUCUAUUAUUAUUGCAUUGGAGUCUAUCUCUCCCUUUACAUCUAAUAGUAUUUGCUUUAUAUGUCUGGGUAUUCUGGUUUGAGAUUCAUAUAUAUUUGUAGUUGUAUAUCCCCUUACUGAAUUGACC